GACGAACGCUGGCGGCGUGCUUAACACAUGCAAGUCGAGCAGUAAGGCCCUUUCGGGGGUACACGAGCGGCGAACGGGCGAGUAACACGUGGGUGACCUGCCCUCAGCUCUGGGAUAAGCCUGGGAAACCGGGUCUAAUACCGGAUAUGACUCCAUGACGCAUGUUGUGGGGUGGAAAGCCUUGUGCGGCUGAGGAUGGGCCCGCGGCCUAUCAGCUUGUUGGUGGGGUGANGGCCUACCAAGGCGACGACGGGUAGCCGGCCUGAGAGGGCGACCGGCCACACUGGGACUGAGACACGGCCCAGACUCCUACGGGAGGCAGCAGUGGGGAAUCUUGCGCAAUGGGCGAAAGCCUGACGCAGCGACGCCGCGUGAGGGAUGACGGCC
RNAcentral lists this ribosomal RNA (387 nucleotides) under uncultured bacterium. RNAcentral's name for it is "bacterial SSU rRNA". It matches the Rfam family "Bacterial small subunit ribosomal RNA", at positions 28 to 416 of the family's 1533-position model. The record is from RNAcentral.